Molecule: long non-coding RNA, 250 nt
Organism: Haliotis rubra (blacklip abalone)
Lineage: Eukaryota; Metazoa; Mollusca; Gastropoda; Lepetellida; Haliotidae
Exons: 3
Source: RefSeq, a predicted model, not a curated record
UGACAGCAGAUAUCACGUACUACCUUCAUGUCCCUUGUUGAGCAACUACAUGUAUGUUAUCAUGCGUCGGCGCAGACGGACAAGAAGGGGUCGUCUUUGGUGUUCAAGUAGCCACUCUGUCUACGACGAUACUGUUUGUCGUGGUUGGCAGUCUGGUGGCCAUGGGGAUGUGUUGCCGUAGACGUAUGGGGAUGCCAAGAUGAGGGUGUGUGGCAGUCUGGUGGCGGUGGGGAUGUGUUGCCGUAAACGU